This 734-nucleotide ribosomal RNA is filed under the name uncultured bacterium. RNAcentral describes it as "bacterial SSU rRNA". It matches the Rfam family "Bacterial small subunit ribosomal RNA", at positions 771 to 1501 of the family's 1533-position model. The record is from RNAcentral.
AACAGGAUUAGAUACCCUGGUAGUCCACGCCGUAAACGAUGAGUGCUAAGUGUUAGGGGGUUUCCGCCCCUUAGUGCUGCAGCUAACGCAUUAAGCACUCCGCCUGGGGAGUACGGCCGCAAGGCUGAAACUCAAAGGAAUUGACGGGGGCCCGCACAAGCGGUGGAGCAUGUGGUUUAAUUCGAAGCAACGCGAAGAACCUUACCAGGUCUUGACAUCCCGCUGCCCGGCGUAGAGAUACGCUUUUCCCUUCGGGGACAGCGGUGACAGGUGGUGCAUGGUUGUCGUCAGCUCGUGUCGUGAGAUGUUGGGUUAAGUCCCGCAACGAGCGCAACCCUUGAUCUUAGUUGCCAGCAUUCAGUUGGGCACUCUAAGGUGACUGCCGGUGACAAACCGGAGGAAGGUGGGGAUGACGUCAAAUCAUCAUGCCCCUUAUGACCUGGGCUACACACGUGCUACAAUGGACGGUACAAAGGGCAGCCAACCCGCGAGGGGGAGCCAAUCCCAGAAAACCGUUCUCAGUUCGGAUUGCAGGCUGCAACUCGCCUGCAUGAAGCCGGAAUCGCUAGUAAUCGUGGAUCAGUAUGCCACGGUGAAUACGUUCCCGGGCCUUGUACACACCGCCCGUCACACCACGAGAGUUUGUAACACCCGAAGUCGGUGGGGUAACCCUUACGGGAGCCAGCCGCCGAAGGUGGGACAGAUGAUUGGGGUGAAGUCGUAACAAGGUAACC